UGCAGUCGAGCGGACAGAUGGGAGCUUGCUCCCUGAUGUUAGCGGCGGACGGGUGAGUAACACGUGGGUAACCUGCCUGUAAGACUGGGAUAACUCCGGGAAACCGGGGCUAAUACCGGAUGCUUGUUUGAACCGCAUGGUUCAAACAUAAAAGGUGGCUUCGGCUACCACUUACAGAUGGACCCGCGGCGCAUUAGCUAGUUGGUGAGGUAACGGCUCACCAAGGCAACGAUGCGUAGCCGACCUGAGAGGGUGAUCGGCCACACUGGGACUGAGACACGGCCCAGACUCCUACGGGAGGCAGCAGUAGGGAAUCUUCCGCAAUGGACGAAAGUCUGACGGAGCAACGCCGCGUGAGUGAUGAAGGUUUUCGGAUCGUAAAGCUCUGUUGUUAGGGAAGAACAAGUACCGUUCGAAUAGGGCGGUACCUUGACGGUACCUAACCAGAAAGCCACGGCUAACUACGUGCCAGCAGCCGCGGUAAUACGUAGGUGGCAAGCGUUGUCCGGAAUUAUUGGGCGUAAAGGGCUCGCAGGCGGUUCCUUAAGUCUGAUGUGAAAGCCCCCGGCUCAACCGGGGAGGGUCAUUGGAAACUGGGGAACUUGAGUGCAGAAGAGGAGAGUGGAAUUCCACGUGUAGCGGUGAAAUGCGUAGAGAUGUGGAGGAACACCAGUGGCGAAGGCGACUCUCUGGUCUGUAACUGACGCUGAGGAGCGAAAGCGUGGGGAGCGAACAGGAUUAGAUACCCUGGUAGUCCACGCCGUAAACGAUGAGUGCUAAGUGUUAGGGGGUUUCCGCCCCUUAGUGCUGCAGCUAACGCAUUAAGCACUCCGCCUGGGGAGUACGGUCGCAAGACUGAAACUCAAAGGAAUUGACGGGGGCCCGCACAAGCGGUGGAGCAUGUGGUUUAAUUCGAAGCAACGCGAAGAACCUUACCAGGUCUUGACAUCCUCUGACAAUCCUAGAGAUAGGACGUCCCCUUCGGGGGCAGAGUGACAGGUGGUGCAUGGUUGUCGUCAGCUCGUGUCGUGAGAUGUUGGGUUAAGUCCCGCAACGAGCGCAACCCUUGAUCUUAGUUGCCAGCAUUCAGUUGGGCACUCUAAGGUGACUGCCGGUGACAAACCGGAGGAAGGUGGGGAUGACGUCAAAUCAUCAUGCCCCUUAUGACCUGGGCUACACACGUGCUACAAUGGACAGAACAAAGGGCAGCGAAACCGCGAGGUUAAGCCAAUCCCACAAAUCUGUUCUCAGUUCGGAUCGCAGUCUGCAACUCGACUGCGUGAAGCUGGAAUCGCUAGUAAUCGCGGAUUAGCAUGCCGCGGUGAAUACGUUCCCGGGCCUUGUACACACCGCCCGUCACACCACGAGAGUUUGUAACACCCGAAGUCGGUGAGGUAAC
RNAcentral lists this ribosomal RNA (1399 nucleotides) under Bacillus sp. (in: firmicutes). RNAcentral's name for it is "bacterial SSU rRNA". It matches the Rfam family "Bacterial small subunit ribosomal RNA". Lineage: Bacteria; Bacillati; Bacillota; Bacilli; Caryophanales; Bacillaceae. The record is from RNAcentral.